Molecule: ribosomal RNA, 253 nt
Filed under: uncultured bacterium
Lineage: Bacteria
Description: partial 16S ribosomal RNA
Rfam family: Bacterial small subunit ribosomal RNA
Source: RNAcentral
UACGGAGGGUGCAAACGUUGCUCGGAAUCAUUGGGCGUAAAGCGCACGUAGGCGGUCCAGCAAGUCGGGUGUGAAAGCCCUCGGCUCAACCGAGGAAGUGCAUUCGAAACUACAGGACUUGAAUACUGGAGAGGAUCGCGGAAUUCCCGGUGUAGAGGUGAAAUUCGUAGAUAUCGGGAGGAACACCAGUGGCGAAGGCGGCGAUCUGGACAGAUAUUGACGCUGAUGUGCGAAAGCGUGGGGAGCAAACAGG